RNAcentral lists this ribosomal RNA (322 nucleotides) under Sandona sp. Its description in RNAcentral is "SSU rRNA". It matches the Rfam family "Eukaryotic small subunit ribosomal RNA", at positions 633 to 955 of the family's 1831-position model. The record is from RNAcentral. Lineage: Eukaryota; Cercozoa; Glissomonadida; Sandonidae.
GAUUUCUCGGCAUCAGCUUUUGGCCGGCCACGGUUUCGUGUGUUAGUGCCUUGAGCUUUGUCGAUCCUUCCAAUCGCUGCUUACUAUUCUUCAUUGAUUGGUAAGUAGUAUUGGAUCUUUUACUUUGAAAAAAUUAGAGUGUUUCAAGCAGGCUUUAUGCUAUGAAUACAUUAGCAUGGAAUAAUAAUUUAGGACUUCGGUCUUAUUUUGUUGGUUUCUAGGACUGAAGUAAUGAUUGAUAGGGAUAGUUGGGGGUGCUAGUAUUCAGCGCGGAGAGGUGAAAUUCUCGGAUUCGCUGAAGACUAACUUAUGCGAAAGCAUU